RNAcentral lists this ribosomal RNA (520 nucleotides) under Xanthochorema bifurcatum. RNAcentral describes it as "partial 16S ribosomal RNA". The record is from RNAcentral. Lineage: Eukaryota; Metazoa; Arthropoda; Insecta; Trichoptera; Hydrobiosidae.
GUCUUUUUGAUUUAUAUUUAUUUAAAGUCUAAUCUGCUCACUGAAUUAAAAUUUAAAGAGCCGCAGUAUUUUAACUGUGCAAAGGUAGCAUAAUAAUUUGUUUUUUAAUUGAAAACUAGAAUGAAUGAUUGAACGAGAUAUAUUCUGUCUCAAUUUUAAUUUAAUAUAAAUUAAUUUUUUAGUUAAAAAGCUAAAAUUAAUUUAAAAGACGAGAAGACCCUAUAGAUUUUUAUAUAAUUAUUAAUUAAUUUAUAUGUAUAUAAAUAUAUUUAUAUUUAUUAUUAAUUAUAUUUUAUUGGGGUAAUAAAAAAAUAAAAUAAACUUUUAUUAAAUAAAAACAUAAAUUAAUGAAAAUUUGAUCCAAAUUUAAUGAUUAAAAGAUUAAAUUACCUUAGGGAUAACAGCGUAAUUUUAAUUUUAAGUUCUUAUUGAAAUUAAAGAUUGCGACCUCGAUGUUGGAUUAGGAAAAAUUUUAAAAGUAGAUUUUUAAAUUUUAGGUCUGUUCGACCUUUAAAAUCUU